UUUCCAGCAUCAAUAUGACAACAUGAUUUUGUCUUUAUAUCAGUAAGCAGCUUCUACUAUGUUUUCCUAUUUUCUGCUAGCUACAGUUUACAAAGGAUGUCACAGCACUGGCAUAUUCUCAAGAUGCCUACCUGAAAGGCAACGAAGCUUAUAGCGGCAAUGCCCGCAAUAUACCUGAACCUCCACCAAUCUGCUAUCCCUGGCUGCCAUCUGCCCCAUCAGCCAUGGCACAGCCAGUUGAAAUAUCUCCUCCUGACUCAUCAUUGAGCAAACAGCAAACCAGUACACCAGUACUGACACAACCUGGUAGGGCCUAUAGAAUGGAAAUACAAGUGCCUCCAUCACCAACAGAUGUUGCAAAAUCAAACACAGCAGUGUGUGUUUGCAAUGAAAGUGUAAGGACUGUCAUUGUGCCUUCUGAGAAGGUUGUAGAUUUGUUAUCCAAUAGAAACAACCAUACAGGUCCUUCACAUAGAACUGAAGAAGUGAGGUAUGGCGUGAGUGAGCAGACCUCUUUAAAAACAGUGUCAAGAACCACAUCACCACCAUUAUCAAUUCCCACCACUCAUCUAAUUCAUCAGCCUGCAGGCUCCAGAUCACU
This 601-nucleotide long non-coding RNA is filed under the name Homo sapiens (human). RNAcentral describes it as "non-protein coding lnc-PRTFDC1-2:1". Lineage: Eukaryota; Metazoa; Chordata; Mammalia; Primates; Hominidae. The record is from RNAcentral.